CAGCAGCCGCGGUAAUGCAGAGGAUGCAAGCGUUAUCCGGAAUGAUUGGGCGUAAAGCGUCUGUAGGUGGCUUUUCAAGUCCGCCGUCAAAUCCCAGGGCUCAACCCUGGACAGGCGGUGGAAACUACCAAGCUGGAGUACGGUAGGGGCAGAGGGAAUUUCCAGUGGAGCGGUGAAAUGCGUUGAGAUCGAAAAGAACACCAACAGCGAAAGCACUCUGCUGGGACGACACUGACACUAAGAGACGAAAGCUAGGGGAGCAAAUGGGAUUAGAUACCCCUGUAGUCCCUGUCUCUUAUAC
Molecule: ribosomal RNA, 301 nt
Filed under: uncultured bacterium
Lineage: Bacteria
Description: partial 16S ribosomal RNA
Rfam family: Bacterial small subunit ribosomal RNA
Source: RNAcentral